This 467-nucleotide ribosomal RNA is filed under the name uncultured bacterium. Its description in RNAcentral is "partial 16S ribosomal RNA". It matches the Rfam family "Bacterial small subunit ribosomal RNA", at positions 28 to 507 of the family's 1533-position model. The record is from RNAcentral.
GACGAACGCUGGCGGCGUGCUUAACACAUGCAAGUCAGGGGGCGGGGUAACCCGUCACCGGCGAACGGAUUCAGAACACGUGAUCGACCUUCCCUGGUGUGGGGGCUAGCCGGCCCAACGGCCGGGUACUACCGCAUACGGCGCCCGCUUGGAUGCGGGAGGCGAAACUCGCCAGAGGCGCUUGGAGGGGCUCGCGGGCUAUUAGCGAGUGGGUGCGGUAACGGAGCACGAAGGCGAUGGCGGGUAGCUGGACUGUGAGGAUGGCUAGCCACAGUGGAACUGAGAGACGGCUGAGACUGCGACGGGAGGCAGCAGUGGGGAAGAGGGCGCAAUGGGGGAACGUAUGAAGCAGCGGCGCCGCGUGGAGGAUGAGGCCGUGCGAGGUGUAAACUCCUGUUGCCCGGGAAGAAUGCCCCGCAUGGGCGAGGUUGACGGUACCGGGUGAGGAAGCACCGGCUAACUCUGUG